CCAAGUAAAGGCAAGAGCUUGAUCUGAGAAAUAUACAGCAGAACACAUCUUUCUCAUCUAGCUCUGUUUUACAAGGGAACCUAUGGUGGAGUUCUCAAUAAAUGUAUUCAAUGGAAUUCUUACAAUUCACUGGGACAAAAAGUCUUCCAAGAUGCCUCCAUGGUUAGAAGGAGAAUUCUAAAAGGCUGUGUUUUAAGAAUCAGUGAUGUCAAAUGACACAGAAUUCUCCAGUGAUGUCACUAGGAGCACUUUGUGUGAAGACUGGGAAAAAAAAUUUUGCUCUUUGAUGCAUCUUCUGCACCAGGUAUGUGGAACCAGUUCUAUUCUUUUAUGCCAGUGUAAAUCCAAAAUAACUCAGUAAAAGUCAUCGAGUUGCUUCAGAUUUACACAGUUGCAAAUGGGAGCAGAAUUUGGUGUGUUUUCGGAUAUUUAAGUGAGCAAGUGUUCGUCCUGAGUCAUUUUGUUUAAAUUUAAUUUUUGCUGUUUGGUGUACAUUCUCAUGACGCUGCACAAUAGGAAAAGAGGGUGAGAAGAAUGGGAAAUUGUGGAGAUACAUGUCCAAGGAGUAAUUUAUACACCUUCAAAGUACACAAAUUAAGAGGUCACACACAG
Dermochelys coriacea (leatherback sea turtle) is the source of this 612-nucleotide long non-coding RNA. RefSeq lists it as uncharacterized. Lineage: Eukaryota; Metazoa; Chordata; Testudines; Dermochelyidae. The transcript has 3 exons. The record is from RefSeq and is a predicted model, not a curated record.